Homo sapiens (human) is the source of this 71-nucleotide microRNA precursor. Lineage: Eukaryota; Metazoa; Chordata; Mammalia; Primates; Hominidae. The record is from Ensembl.
GACUCAGAAGACAGAGUGCCACUUACUGAAAGGUUUUUUCUCUCAGUAAGUGGCACUCUGUCUUCUGAGUU